GAUGAACGCUGGCGGCGUGCCUAAUACAUGCAAGUCGAGCGAACGGACGAGAAGCUUGCUUCUCUGAUGUUAGCGGCGGACGGGUGAGUAACACGUGGAUAACCUACCUAUAAGACUGGGAUAACUUCGGGACACCGGAGCUAAUACCGGAUAAUAUUUUGAACCGCAUGGUUCAAAAGUGAAAGACGGUCUUGCUGUCACUUAUAGAUGGAUCCGCGCUGCAUUAGCUAGUUGGUAAGGUAACGGCUUACCAAGGCAACGAUGCAUAGCCGACCUGAGAGGGUGAUCGGCCACACUGGAACUGGGACACGGUCCAGACUCCUACGGGAGGCAGCAGUAGGGAAUCUUCCGCAAUGGGCGAAAGCCUGACGGAGCAACGCCGCGUGAGUGAUGAAGUUCUUCGGAUCGUAAGACUCUGUUAUUAGGGAAGAACAUAUGUGUAAGUAACUGUGCACAUCUUGACGGUACCUAAUCAGAAAGCCACGGCUAACUACGUG
This 497-nucleotide ribosomal RNA is filed under the name uncultured bacterium. RNAcentral's name for it is "partial 16S ribosomal RNA". It matches the Rfam family "Bacterial small subunit ribosomal RNA", at positions 28 to 507 of the family's 1533-position model. The record is from RNAcentral.